AUGCGGUCACCCUUUGUCUCUUCGGCUUCAACAAAGACCUUCGUCUCAAUCCUCAUCGCCUUCUUGACUCUGCAGCGCUUAGCACACGGCUUGUCUGGAACAAAUGUUUGCACGUCACGAGUUAGUUCAAAAACUUCAAGACUGAGUUCCCAGAGUAGUCGAUACACGUAUCGAUAUACAUACCGUUGUUUCAGUGCUUGGACUUGGUUUACAUGCUCAGCUACAGGUAUUGGCUAUCGUUUUGGGUACUAUACUUCCUACUACACUACCUACUCGACUACUCAAUUCUGCUGCUUUGGCUAUGACCAAG
Molecule: long non-coding RNA, 310 nt
Organism: Corticium candelabrum
Lineage: Eukaryota; Metazoa; Porifera; Homoscleromorpha; Homosclerophorida; Plakinidae
Exons: 3
Source: RefSeq, a predicted model, not a curated record